Molecule: long non-coding RNA, 793 nt
Organism: Sebastes umbrosus (honeycomb rockfish)
Lineage: Eukaryota; Metazoa; Chordata; Actinopteri; Perciformes; Sebastidae
Exons: 2
Source: RefSeq, a predicted model, not a curated record
UGUCAUCAUUGGGGUUUUUUUUGUUAUAUGUGUUUUGGUUUACAACCGUCUUCAUUUCUUUCUGUAUUUGCUUUAAAAAAAAAAACUAUUUCUCUAUUUAUUCACAAGUUGCAUGAAUCAUAGAUUUGGCAGUAACGUAGUUGUCAGUAAAACCCCAGUGACUGUAACUCUGCUGUAUUUUUCUGCAGAACAGGAGAGAACUCAAUGUUUCCGACUGAGCUGAGCUCUAUUGUCGCUGCCAAGAGCUGAUCCUGUUGCUUAGUAACUUCUGACUUUGCUUCAUCUGAUUUUCACAGUAUUAUCCUGCAACAGGAUUCUAUGGAAAAUCCUGCUCCAAUAGCUGUCCAACACGUCUCUGUGCUCUCCCGCCUGUCAUGCAGGUACAGUAUGUGUCAGCAGUCCUGGAACAAAUGGGGAAAGGUUAGGACGUGCUGUGCAGGAAUUACAGGAAGGAUAGGGUGUGUCAUUGCUGCACCCGAGUCAACUGUUAUCAGGCUGUUAAACAGGCGUUAUCGGUCGCUAUAAACACCAUAGAUGUGGGUCAUUCGGGGGCCUACUACACCUACUACAUUGUAACGUUUAAAGCACAACCUUUUUUUUUUGCAACUCCAAAAUCCUCAAGUCUCGUCAGAUGUUUUUGUGACAAACUGAACCUGAACACCAGAAGAAAUCAAAAUGUUAUUUGGGCACGGGUGAGUGGACAAGACACGUCUUCACACUUUAAAACUGAGCCUACUAUAACCUAAAAAUCACAAGUCAUGUAAAUGCGUUUAAAAAAUUAGUGCCAUUACAA